Argentina anserina (silverweed cinquefoil) is the source of this 105-nucleotide small nucleolar RNA. RefSeq annotates it as small nucleolar RNA Z103. NCBI's taxonomy places the organism in Eukaryota, Viridiplantae, Streptophyta, Magnoliopsida, Rosales, Rosaceae. The record is from RefSeq and is a predicted model, not a curated record. The transcript has a single exon.
UUGGGCAUUGCAGACACAUUUUCCCCAGAUGAUCGAAGUUGAAAUAAUUGAGCUAUUGCAUCUCUGUUUUAGAGAGAGAUACCAAGCCAGGUGUUUCUGAUCCAU